This 305-nucleotide ribosomal RNA is filed under the name uncultured bacterium. RNAcentral describes it as "bacterial SSU rRNA". It matches the Rfam family "Bacterial small subunit ribosomal RNA", at positions 338 to 640 of the family's 1533-position model. The record is from RNAcentral.
CCUACGGGAGGCAGCAGUGAGGAAUACUGGUCAAUGGGCGAGAGCCUGAACCAGCCAAGUCGCGUGAGGGAAGACGGUCCUAUGGAUUGUAAACCUCUUUUGCCGGGGAGCAAAAAGCGGUACGUGUACCGCAUCGAGAGUACCCGGAGAAAAAGCAUCGGCUAACUCCGUGCCAGCAGCCGCGGUAAUACGUAGGGAGCGAGCGUUGUCCGGAUUUACUGGGUGUAAAGGGUGCGCAGGCGGCUCUGCAAGUCAGGCGUGAAAGCUAGGGGCUCAACCCCUAAACUGCGCUUGAAUCUGUGGAG